This 333-nucleotide unclassified non-coding RNA is filed under the name soil metagenome. RNAcentral's name for it is "partial contains 5.8S ribosomal RNA, internal transcribed spacer 2, and large subunit ribosomal RNA". The stretch from base 1 to 120 matches the Rfam family "5.8S ribosomal RNA", at positions 35 to 154 of the family's 154-position model. The record is from RNAcentral.
GAUGAAGAACGGAGCGAAAUGCGAUAAGUAAUGUGAAUUGCAGAAUUCAGUGAAUCAUCGAAUCUUUGAACGCACAUUGCGCCCGCCAGUAUUCUGGCGGGCAUGCCUGUCCGAGCGUCAUUUCAACCAUCAAGCCCCGGGCUUGUGUUGGGGACCUGCGUCCGACGCAGGCCCUGAAAACCAGUGGCGGGCUCGCUGUCCACACCGAGCGUAGUAACUAACCUCGCUAUGGAGUGGCGCGGGCGCCUGCCGUAAAACCCCCAAUUUUUACAAGGUUGACCUCGGAUCAGGUAGGAAUACCCGCUGAACUUAAGCAUAUCAAUAAGCGGAGGA